RNAcentral lists this long non-coding RNA (1772 nucleotides) under Mytilus galloprovincialis (Mediterranean mussel). Lineage: Eukaryota; Metazoa; Mollusca; Bivalvia; Mytilida; Mytilidae. The record is from RNAcentral.
UUUUUUUUUCUCUUUUUAUAUUGCACUUUAAUUCGUCCAUCAUUCUUUUAGUUUUCUCUCCCGAAACGGUUUCUAGACCCUCAUAUACGUACAACUACAACUACAAAUGUACGAGAGUACGAAAACCCGGAAUUCUCACCGUUACCAUUUUGUAUACUAUGACGCAAUACCAUGGACGCUCACGAGCUGGCGAUGGAGGUUCAAUUUUUAAAACUAACUGCAAGAAUGGAAACAGUCAGAGAUAUAUGGUAUAAACAACUUUGGUUGUUCAAACUGAUGGUCAAACCAAUGAACAAACAAAUGGAAAUAAAUAACUUGUAGAUAAACUGGAAGAAACCGGGGAACGAUUGAAAUGAAAGUCAACGCAACGAAAGUGUUUUUGUUUUGAUGAGUGACUUGGAAAGCACCAAGGAAAGGUAACAAUAAAUUUAUCAUUCACAUUUUUUAAAUGGAUAAGCAGAAAGAUGUAAGCAUUAAAUUAUCUCUGUGUCGGUCAUAUACCGCCACACCAUGCACAUCGUCCAUACUCUGAAAGACAUCUUCCAUACUUCAUGUACUUCAAGUUUUAGUUUCAAUGAGCAUGUUCAGUUUAUAUCAUAAAAUAUAAUAAUACAACACUAUCCGACAUAUGAAUGGUAUGUUUGUAUCUGGGAAAAUGGUGUUACUAACUAUAUUUUUAUAGUACCAAUGUGCCAAAAAAUAGGGUCGCUGUUUCAUGCCCUGCUGGUUAGAACAGGGUCCCUUUUUCAUGUCCUGCUUGUAAGAACAGGUUCGCUUUUUCAUGACCUUCUUGUGAGAACAGGGUCUUUUUUAAACAAAGUAUUUGUCUUCUAGGGGGGAGGAGGGUUGGAGUGAUCCUGAUUUCAUGUCAUUUUCAUUUUGGAAAGGCAGAUCAUUAAUCGUGUGGCUGUAAUUCUAAAGAAAUUAAAAAAAUUGGGCAUUAGAUUGUUUGAUAGACAUGAUAGAGUAAAAUCAUUUAAUGUAUAGAUAUUCCCCAUUUCCAUUCUCAAUUUUAUUAUCUAUAGGUGUAAUAAAGUCAGAACUGACACGAAUACAGCACAGAAUCGUGAUACAUACAUACUUGCUGUCUGGUGUGAGCCAAGGCUCUGUGUUGAAGGCCGCACCUUGACCUAUAAUGGUUUACUUUUAUACAUUGUUACUUGGAUGGAGAGUUGUCUCAUUGGCACUCAUACCACAUCUUCCUGUACAUAUAACACAAAAAACAAAUAUCCAUAGGUCCAAUGUAUGAUUUUCAUUGACCAAAUUUAAUAGCUUUGUAUAACUUCAAAUUUCAAAUUCCUUAAUUAAUAUCAUGUUUUUUGCCAAAGAUUGGCAUUAAUUUAUUUAUUAAUCAUAACAAAAUCAGAGAUGCAAUAUAACCACUUUCUUUCAUAAAACUGUCUUAUUGAUCAUAGUGAUUUGAUAUGAUGCGUAAGAACAUUAAAAUAAUGAAAUGCUUUUUUUGUAAAUUUUUUAGGGCAAAUCUGUUGGUCUUAUUUUGAAAUGCAAAAGUAAGGCAAUUUUGUCAGUUACAUGUAUCAUAACUUCCUUUUAUCAUGUUUAUGCAAUUAAAAAUUUUUCUUUUAGCAUUUUUAAUGAAAGUACAUGUACUAAAAGAAGUAGGAGAAGAUAACCAACAAAACAGAAGUCACUAGAGGCAAUGCUUUCUAUAUUUAUAUAUAGACUAGUAGUGGAUUUGAAAAGUGCUGUAUUGAUUCAUGUGCAAAUAAAGGAGCAGCGGCCAAUGAAACAUUGCAAUUGUGUGAUGAGAG